UGGAGUGCAAAGACCUAACAGCGUAGCCGCCAAGGUACCUAUUCACGUACCAGCGCUUGCGGCAUCAUCUAUUCUGCGGGUGCCCUAAGUAUUCACGUGCCAUGCAUGCAGUAUUUCUCUGGAAACCCUAACCCUAACGGGCCUUAGCGCCUCCAAGGAACACUUGCUUCUGUCAUACCCGAAUGUACCAUACAAACCCCAUGCAUGAUCCUCUCGUGACUUAGGUUUCUUUUGGUAUCAAGGUGUUAACCCAUGUUAACUCAUGCAAUCUGUGGGACCCAGCUUACGUGGCUCACCCUUAUUAUCAGUCCACCGAUGUCCGAUGUCUUUCUCUCAGGCUGAUGACCA
This 348-nucleotide long non-coding RNA is filed under the name Phaseolus vulgaris (common bean). RNAcentral's name for it is "long non-coding RNA (PVUL_LNC004927)". The record is from RNAcentral. Lineage: Eukaryota; Viridiplantae; Streptophyta; Magnoliopsida; Fabales; Fabaceae.